Mesoplodon densirostris (Blainville's beaked whale) is the source of this 438-nucleotide non-coding RNA. The record is from the annotation of a RefSeq genome assembly. NCBI's taxonomy places the organism in Eukaryota, Metazoa, Chordata, Mammalia, Artiodactyla, Ziphiidae.
AGUGAACCAGGGGAGGAAAGAAUGAGGAAAUCCUCAAGAGUUUUACUAGUGAUCCUGUGGCUUCAGUUAACAUGGAUGAGGAGCCAGCAGAAGGGAGUGGAGCAGAGCCCUGCAUCUCUGCAUGUUCCAGAGGGAGCCAUCGCCUCUCUCAACUGCACUUAUACUGACAGUGCUUCUCAGUACUUCUCAUGGUACAGACAGUACCCCAGCAAAGGCCUUGAGUUGCUCGUUUACAGUUACGGAUCUUUGAAUAAAGACAAAGAGGAAGGAAGAUUCACAGCCGAUGUCAAUAAAGCCAACAAGUAUGUCUCCCUGCUCAUCAGAGACUCCGAGCCAAGUGACUCAGCCACCUACCUCUGUGCAGUGAGCGCACAGUGCUCCCCAGGCACCUGCAGUCUGUACCCAAAACUGGUGGGGCCCCAGCAAUGCCUGAUGUAG